This 570-nucleotide ribosomal RNA is filed under the name uncultured bacterium. RNAcentral describes it as "bacterial SSU rRNA". It matches the Rfam family "Bacterial small subunit ribosomal RNA", at positions 1 to 556 of the family's 1533-position model. The record is from RNAcentral.
CCCUUAGAGUUUGAUCCUGGCUCAGAACGAACGCUGGCGGCGUGGAUAAGACAUGCAAGUCGAACGGGGCGAAUGAGAUUACAUCAAGUUUGUUCAGUGGCGGACGGGUGCGUAACACGUGAGUAAUCUGCCGGGAGGAGGGGGAUAGCCCAUGGAAACGUGGAUUAAUACCCUGUGUGACGGAAGUUGGCAUCAACUUCCUGUCAAAGGUGCUGUAAGGCGCCGCCUCCCGAUGAACUCGCGGCCUAUCAGCUAGUUGGCGGGGUAACGGCCCACCAAGGCGAUGACGGGUAGCUGGUCUGAGAGGAUGACCAGCCACACUGGAACUGAGACACGGUCCAGACACCUACGGGUGGCAGCAGUCGAGAAUCAUUCACAAUGGGCGAAAGCCUGAUGGUGUGACGCCGCGUGGAGGAUGACGGUCUUCGGAUUGUAAACUCCUGUCAAGUGAGAGUAAGAUUGGGAUAGGAAAUGAUCGCCAAUUUGAGAGUAUCACUAGAGGAAGAGGCGGCUAACUCUGUGCCAGCAGCCGCGGUAAUACAGAGGCCUCAAGCGUUGUUCGGAUCACUG